This 421-nucleotide ribosomal RNA is filed under the name uncultured Bacteroidota bacterium. RNAcentral's name for it is "bacterial SSU rRNA". It matches the Rfam family "Bacterial small subunit ribosomal RNA", at positions 356 to 774 of the family's 1533-position model. The record is from RNAcentral. Lineage: Bacteria; Pseudomonadati; Bacteroidota.
AAGGAAUAUUGGUCAAUGGGCGCAAGCCUGAACCAGCCAUGCCGCGUGCAGGAAGACGGCCCUAUGGGUUGUAAACUGCUUUUGUCAGGGAAUAAACCCCCGUACGUGUACGGGGCUGAAGGUACCUGAAGAAUAAGCAUCGGCUAACUCCGUGCCAGCAGCCGCGGUAAUACGGAGGAUGCAAGCGUUAUCCGGAUUCAUUGGGUUUAAAGGGUGCGCAGGCGGAUUGAUAAGUCAGGGGUGAAAUCCCACAGCUCAACUGUGGAACUGCCUUUGAUACUGUUAGUCUUGAGUAUAGUUGAAGUGGGCGGAAUGUGUCAUGUAGCGGUGAAAUGCUUAGAUAUGACGAGGAACUCCGAUUGCGCAGGCAGCUUACCAAGCCGUAACUGACGCUCAAGCACGAAGGCGUGGGGAUCAAACA